CCAAAAUCUCACCCGUCGUGAUGGCGCCUAUCUCAAUACUAGGCAAACCGACAAUAUCAAUAAACCACAUAUCUUUUAAAUUUGAAAACAUAAUGAUUAAAUUCAGCGGAAGAAAUCUCACAAGUACAAAUAUACUCCCAAAACCCGGUGUCACUGAGUACAUGAGCAUCUAAUAUGAAUACAAGUCUAGAAAAUACGGUCUAUAAUAGUCUGAGACCAAAUACAGUAAAUAAGGAGAUAGGGAAGGAGAGACAAGGUCUACGAAACACGGCAGCUACCUCUGAAUCUCCCAAAAAUCAACUGCGUGAAAGAAUCAAAACCCGCUAUGUCCGGGAACACCUGAAUCUGCACACGAAGUACAGGGUGUAGUAUGAGUACAACCAACUCAGUAAGUAACAAUAAUAAAUAAAGAACUGAAGACGAGCUACACAGUUAUAGUUUAUUUUCAGUAAUUCCAGCAAAGAAUAGACAUGCUUUCCAAUCCAGUAGUUUAAGUCAAAUCAAUUUUAUACUGUUCAAGUUCAUGUAAUCAGGAUAUAAACUUCUUCAGAAAAAUUUCACAACAAUAACAAAUAGCAACUAAGUGCAACCACAAAUGAAAAGUAAGUACAUCCUCUCAGGGCAACAGUCACUCGACUCGUCACAACAGCUCAAACACUCAGCUCUCAACCCUCAGCACUCGCAGUCAAUGGGUACCCGCGCUCACUGGGGUGUUCAGACUCCGGAGGGGCUCCUACAACCCAAGUGCUAUAAGCACGGACAACUCACGUACUGCACGGACAACUCACGUGUCAUAAUAUAAAUAUCUGGAUCCGCACGGACAACUCACGUGCUAUAGUAUAAUAUAAGAAUCCGCACGGACAACUCACGUGCUAUAGUAUAAUAUUCACAAUCAGGCUCUCGGCCUCACUCAGUCAUAAAUCUCUCCAGUCUCUCGGACUCUCAAUAAUCAUGAAAUCCGCCCAGGCAGCAAUGAUAUGAUGCAACAAAUAAUGAACAAUAGAGACUGAGAUAAAAUAACAAGUAAACUGUGACUGAGUACAAAACAACAAUUUAACAGAUAAUUCAACAUGUAUACAACCUUUGUGGGUCCCUACAGUGCGAACACAUAAUCUAAACAUGAUUUACAGUCAAAUUUCUACAACACAUAGAGAGCAUAUGGCUAACAAUAAGUUAUUCACCUUUACAGUUUCACGAGACGGGCCAAGUCACAAUCCGCUCGGUGCACGCCCACACGCUCGUCACCUAGCGUGUGCGUCACCUCCAAAAUAAUCGCAUGACACAAAAAAAUUCGGGGUUUCAUGCCCUCAGGAUUAGAUUUAAAACUGUUACUUAUCUCAAUUAAAGCAAAUCUCUACUCCGCAAUGCCCUUGCCUCUCGAAUCGCCCUCCGAGCGUCCCGAAUCUAGCCACAAGCAGUACCAUACCAUUAAUAUAUGCUAAAGGAAUCAAUUCCACAAGAAAACUACUAUAUUAGACCCAAAACCCGAAAUCGACUCAAAUCCGACCCCCAGGCCCAUGUCUCGAAAUUCGACAAAAGUCACAAAACCCGAAAGCCCAUUCACUCACGAGUUUAACCAUACAAAAUUCAUCAAAAUCCGACAUCAUUUGGUCCCUCAAAUCCUCAAUUACACUCUCCAAUAUCCCAAGCCCUAACCCCUUAUUUCACCUCAAAAAUCCUACUAAUUAGGGGGGAAAACAACGGAAAAAUACCAUAGCUAGUGAUAAUAAAGCUCAAGCAACUUACCUCAGUGAAUAUCCUUGAAACCCUUUCAAAAAUCUCCCCAAAAGCUCCAAAGUCCGAAUUGAAAAUGGUGGAAAUGAGCAAAAAUCACGAAGUCCUCAAUUUAUACAUCUGCCCAGUGAAACCGCACCUGCGGCCCCUUUUUCCGCUUCUGCGACGCCGCAGAUCGCAGGUGCGGAACUCACUUAAGAUCCCAGGUUCCGCAUCUGCGGACAAAUCUCGCCCUUGCGAAAGCACACCUGCGCAUCUCCCUCUACUUCUGCGACGCCAGCCAAAUUCCUCCUCUCCGCAUCUGCGCCCAAGGUCUCGCACCUGCGGGAUCGCAGAUGCGACAGCCUUCUCACACCUGCGCCUUCUGCCCAGCUCCUCCAAUCUCGCAUCUGCGAUCACCCGCUCGCUUCUACGGGCUCGCACCUGCGAUGAGACAUCCGCAGGUGCGAUUAUGACAGUUGAGUUCAACUUCAGCAAUUCCUCCAAUUUCCAAACUUGUUCCGUUAAUCACCCGGAAUCACCUCGAGGCCCUCGGUACCUCAACCAAAUAUACCAACAUAACCCACAACAUCAUACGAACUUAGACAAAUCAUCAAAUCACUCAAAACAACAUCAAAACAUCCAAUUACACUCGGAUUCAAACCUAAGGACUUCUAAACUUCCGAAUUCCACCAACGACGCCGAAACCCGCUAAACCACGUCCGAAUGACCUCAAAUUUUACACACAAGUCAAAAAUAACACAACGAACCUAUUCUAACUUUCGGAAUUCCAUUCCAACCCCGAUAUCAAAAUUUUCACUGCCGGCCAAAAUCGCCAAAAUUCUAACUUCCGCCAAUUCAAGCCCAAUUCUACCACGGGCCUCCAAAUCUCAUUCCGAACGCGCUACCAAGUCCAAAAUCACCUAACGGAGCUAACGGAACCAUCAAAAUUCAAAUCUGAGGUCGUUUACACAUAAGUCAACGUCCGAUUGACUUUUCUAACUUAAGCUUCUACUUUAGAGACUAAGUGUCUCGAUUCACUCCGAAAUCACUCCGGACCCGAACCAACUAACCUGGUAUAACACAAUAUAGCUGAAGGACUCAAAAAGAAGCAGAAAUGGGAAAAAUGGGGCUAUAACUCCCAAAACGACCGGUCGGGUCGUUACAUCCUCCCCCACUUAAACACAUGUUCGCCCUCGAACGUGCCAGGAGUUGUUUCCAAGCCAUCAAAUCACUAUUCCAUCUUACCAUGCACGUAGCCAGGGGUGAUCAACACGUCACCCUAUUCUAUAUAGGUCUGACCCCACAACUUAACAAGAAAAAUCAUUAAUUUAACCUUAGCCCAAAUACCUUGAGCCAAAUUUCUAACAUCCAAAAUUCUUUUUAAGACCCAAAUCUCACAUCUACACACUGCAUAAUUCUGAAUGAGCUGCAUCGAGCCAUAACUAUAACCACAGAUAUAAUCAACUAACAUAUUACCCAACUCGCAUGCUCAUGGCACCAUUCCUGAUCACAGUAACUACUCCAAAACCAACCAAGUACUAGUAUUAAACCCCAUAUCGAACCAAACCUCGUUCCAAAACCUUCGUACACUGCUAAUAAUAAAAGAAACAUGCAGAAAUCUCAUGACCCCCUUAUCAGAGCAACAAGUCAUGGAGCUCUCUCGCCCCUACCAGAACCAUAAUCACUCUUUAAGCCGACUUUCGAUAUUAUUCUCUCGAAUAUACCAUAAUCAAAACUGAUAGUACCCACUCUAGGUCCAAUGACCCUAUAUUAUGAAACACAACCAUCCCACAGACAUGCCACACCAAUAUAACUCAGAGCCACAAACUGUGUCAUCCGUGCGCCAAUACGCAACAAUUCAAAUGUAUUCAGUCAUGGAAAAAUGACUCCAAUGAGAGAACUGCCCCGCCGAAUUAACAAGUACCGCCACAAAGAAAUGAUGAAAAUUCAUCACACACCGUAGGACCAUCACACGAUUCUAACGCAAGAUUCAUACCUUAACAUAACUCCGCUGCAAUGCGUGACCCCAUCCAAAUGUUGGUCCAUAUUAUCUACCUCGAGCCACCCUGCUCAAAAUCAAUAAGGACAGAGAGGCAAAUGACAAAAUGCCACAUAAAACCUGAAAGAACAUAACCAAUACGCAAUCGAUCAUGCAAUACCCAAAUACUCAUCUCGCUCAAAUUCUGCCAUAAGGCCCCCAAUAAAUCUGCACCAUGUGUGUAUAUAACCAAUGAUACAAAACUUCUCGUAGCAUAGAAGAAUAACUUACAGAUCAUUUCAGACCACGAAUAAGUUCAACAUCAACCGAAUGGCACAUCACUCAACAAUAGCAGUAGGGAGCCAACCAGACAGACUCGGUGUAGAAUACACAUCCUAAUCGGGCAUACCAAUGGACCCCAAAUCAACUCUAGUCAACCACAAAUAGAUAAAUAAUCCUUUGGAAGCCAACAAUGACUGAAUCAUAACAAAUACUAUCAUCUGGCUAGCUUCGGGCAUGACUUCACAGUCCACAACCAUGAAACAAUCUGCUCCUGAGGACUCCCAGUCUCCAAAUCCAUAGAACACAUGAAUCACCAUAUCUAAUCCCAACUCCACUACUGAAUGUCUAACACAUCUUUCAUACACGAUCAUCCCACGAGAAAUACUUCUAUAAUUCUCCCGUGCCAAUAGAAAAAUUUGAAUAUCAGCAGUCGAUCAACCAAGAGAGUGCCACAAUACCAAUGAAGUAUCGAUGAAUCAAAACAUAUUUACCCUUAUGAAAUGUAUACUCUCAUCCGGCCAUAUCGAUUAAUAAUAUCAUUUACCUAGCCAUCUAAAACCGUCCAUGCUGCCUACGAAUUUAUAUCUUUCCCUUCAAAACUGAACUGUGACCUUGCACCUGCAAAUCUCAAUCCCACACAAUACAUCGCGUCUACCAUGCCAUCCUGUGAACAGUACAAGAAUCUCAUAAUCACUUUGAGUCACAAGCAGAACACAUACCCGAUCAAUCAGAAACCUUCCAUUUGAUCUCCUCCCGGAGAAAAUCCCAGUACGCAACAUAUUCCUCACGCCGGCAGGAAAUAUACUCCUCGAACCGUGGUAAAAACUAUUGAGAACUCUUCGAAACCCAUUUGCACACAACCAAGCUAUUAUAACUGAAUCUCUCUAACUCAACCCAGCCACGCAGGUCGCCAAAUCCAAGAGUAUUGCCACAAUGCACCUGUAGAAAACCCCCACAUCAUAAGCACCCAAAAGAACCGAUCAUAUCUAUUACCAUGUUGUCAUAUUUCUUCGAGUACCUUCCGAAUCUAUCUUCAGAUUGAUACUUCUCCUUGGUAAAUUGCCACGAUCUUUAGCCACAACUCACCCCACAAACCUUAGCAUAGAACCACAACGCCCUACUGCCCUUAAGCAGUUGUAUUCUUCUUAAGCACCUUCAUAAAUACCCCAACUGUAACACUCACUCUGAAAAUACCUUAUGUGAAUUUAAAAUUGUUCUUCUGACCUUCCUUAUACUAAAGUAUAGAAUCCAUAGUCAUACAGAAUUUCCGUAAGUCCAGGCACCAUCAAAUACAAAUCUCAGAUUUUAUCCAUGCACAAGUCCGGCAAAAUUCUCAAUUGCUAUAUAUAAAUCUUGAAUCCAUUAGAACCUUCUAAAGAGUCCUCCACUCUGCUCAAAUUUAAAUUGCACUGCGCGAACGGGCCGAAAGACACGUGCUCCCUUAGCUUGCCCACACCUAAAGAAGUAACCCUGCCUUAACGUCACCAAUCAAAUUCAUACUUCGUGCGUACUACAUCCAACAAUAACAACUCGAUCAUCCCAUGAUUUUCAUAUACUCAUAAAGUGCAAUAUAACCUGCAUUCAGAAAUUUACUUACCCGAGUCAUCCUCAAUCUGCACCUCUGUAAGUCAUAACUAAACCACAAGUAUGCCUCAGACCAAAACUAAAAUUUAACACAUAACCAUGAAAUCAAAUUGUCAAUAACAGGCUCCCCCACUUAGCCUUAAGCUGCCAUUAUAUAAAAUUAGAACCCGCAAGGAUUUCGCUUUCUCAAUUACCAAGAUCUCGCACCGUUAACCCGCUAGACUUUUUGAAGUUUUUUGUUAAGCUUUUCAUGAACAUUCUGAAUCACCAGCCACAAUCACACACUCGACCUCUUACCGGUUAGCAAGUAAUAUUCCUCGCAGAAGCUUCAUCAACAUCACGCCACCACUAACUGCUCACAGGAGAUAACCCAUCUGUGAAAUUCCUUACCGACAUCUUCAAACGACGCUGCACUGGGUGCAACAACUACGUAAUCAGUAAAUUCUCCUGAGCUCAUGCUCGCCCACCAUUUGUAUAAGUCUGCACUUCACCUAUUGACAUCAACUGAAAGUUCAAUACUACCUUCCAAACUCAAGUCAUAUUACGCCUGAAACGAUAAUCAGAUCUUCACAUCUCUCUUUAUUUCAAACAAACUCCUUUCUGCCAUAUUUAAUCUUUCUCCGUACAGUAAACAUCACUCCAAAUAAAGUCUGUAGGCUAAAUCACAGUCUAUCACGAUUCCAAACCGUUCUACACUUUCACAAGGCACGCGACUACCCUACCACAGAAUCUUUAUGCUAAUCUGCCACUCUUACUUUGUUUAAAUUAUCUCCUUUAAGCAACUUCUCAACCUCUACUUCUCCUACUUGACCUGCUAGUACAUUAACCACCGCGAAACACUUCCCGUCAUGUCUUCCCUCAUACUUUGCUGCCCAACUGUUGCAUCAAAUCAAAAUGCAUCUAUGUCGCACCUGAACCAAUAAAAUGUUACCAACUCUAUGCCUCUUCGAAGAUCAUCUUUCUCGAGCCAUCAACAUUAGAAAUGCCCAUUCGCAACCACAAUUACUACACAAUCACUUACUCUUCUUGAGUCCAAACUCAUUAACAAGACAUGAGAAUUUAAUUUGUCCCACAAUUUAACAACGUGAAAGAUCCUUCAAUACACUCACAACUCGAGACUAUACGUCAAAUCAAGACAGAAAUCAAGUACCCAAUAGCAAACUCUUGAGUCAUAAGCAAACUUUAUUCGUCACAUUCAACCCAUCUGAACACAUCCAGCAGUCACAUCAUGCUUACCAUAAAGCCAUUCAAUCGCUCAUCGAGCCACAAAUCCUACUCGUGGGGAUAUUACCGGAUAUAGGGGUCCAUAUGCACAAGUUCUCACAACUGAAACUACCGAGCCUAAGUUGCGGCCUAUCCCCGGCCUAUCCCCGGCCUCAAGUCCUCCAGACUGGCCCAUCACCAAAACACAUAAUACACCUCUUGAACCUCGUUCAUAGAAUCACAAGUCAACGAUGCACAACUGAUACCGAGCGCUCAUAUGCGCAUACGAAAUGCAUGGAAGGAAUUCAAAUAGUUAUGUUUCAAGCUGAAUCAAUUCCGCACAAUAUAAUACAAGAAAGUGAAAUUUUCUUAAGAGUUUGGCAGCCUCUCGAAGAUAAGUACAGACGUCUCCGUACCGAUUCACAAGACUCUACUAAACCUGCUCAUGACUCGUGAGACCUAUGUUACCUAGAGCUCUGAUACCAACUUGUCACGACCCAAAAUCCCACCCGUCGUGAUGGCGCCUAUCUCAAUACUAAGCAAGCCGACAAUCUCAAUAAACCACAUAUCUUUUAAAUUUGAAAAUAUAAUGAUUAAAUUCAGCGGAAAAAAUCUCACAAGUACAAAUAUAAAUACUCCCAAACUCCGGUGUCACUGAGUACAUGAGCAUCUAAUAUGAAUACAAGUCUGGAAAAUACGGUCUAUAAUAGUCUGAGACCAAAUACAGUAAAUAAGGAGAUACGGAAGGAGAGACAAGGUGUGCGAAACACGGCAACUACCUCUGAAUCUCCGAAAAAUCAACUGCGCGAAAGAAUCAACACCCGCUAUGUCCGGAAACACAUGGAUCUGCACACGAAGUGCAGGGUGUAGUAUGAGUACAACCAACUCAACAAGUAACAAUAAUAAAUAAAGUACUUAAGAUAGUGACGAGCUACACAGUUAUAGUUCAUUUUCAGUAAUUCCAACAAAGAAUAGACAUGCUUUCCAAUCCAGCAGUUUAAGUCAAAUCAAUUUUAUACAGUUCAAGUUCAUGUAAUCCGGAUAUAAACUCCUUCAGAAAAAUUUCACAACAAUAACAGAUAGCAACUAAGUGCAACCACAGAUGAAAAGCAAGUACAGCCUCUCAGGGCAACAGUCACUCAACUCGUCACAACAGCUCAAACACUGAGCUCUCAACCCUCAGCACUCCCACUCAAUGGGUACCCGCGCUCACUGGGGUGUUCAGACUCCGGAGGGGCUCCUACAACCCAAGUGCUAUAAGCACGGACAACUCACGUGCUGCACGGACAACUCACGUGCUGCACGGACAACUCACGUGCCAUAGUAUAAAUAUCUGGGACAACUCACGUACUAUAGUAUAAUAUAAGGAUCCGCACGGGCAACUCACGAGCUGCACGGACAACUCAUGUGCUAUAGUAUAAUAUCUCACAAAUAGGCCCUCGGCCUCACUCAGUCAUAAAUCUCUCCAGUCUCUCAGGCUCUCAAUAAUCAUGAAAUCAGCCCAGGCAGCAAUGAUAUGAUGCAUCAAAUAAUGAACAAUAAAGACUGAGAUAAAAUAAUAAGUAAACUGUGACCGAGUACAAAACAAUAAUUUAGCAGAUAAUUCAACAUGUACACGACCUCUAUGGGUCCCUACAAUGCCAACACAUAAUCUAAACAUGAUUUAAAGUCAAAUUUCUACAACACAAAGAGAGCAUAUGGCUAACAACAAGUUAUUCAACUUUACAAUUUAACGGGACGGGCCAAGUUACAAUCUCCUCGGUGCACGCCCACACGCCCGUCACCUAGCGUGUGCGUCACCUCCAAAAUAAUCGCAUGACACAAAAAAUCCGGGGUUUCAUACCCUCAGGAUCGGAUUUAAAAUUGUUACUUACCUCAAUCCAAGCAAAUCUCUACUCCGCAAUGCCAUUGCCUCUCGAAUCGGCCUCCGAGCAUCCCGAAUCUAGCCACAGGCAGUACCAUAACAUUAAUAUAUGCUAAAGGAAUCAAUUCCACAAGAAAACUACUAAAUUAGACCCAAAAUCCGAAAUCGACUCAAAUUCGACCCCCGGGCCCACGUCUCGAAAUCCGACAAAAGUCACAAAACCCGAAAGCCCAUUCACUCACGAGUCUAACAAUACGAAAUUCAUCAAAAUCCGACAUCAUUUGGUCCCUCAAAUCCUCAAUUAUACUCUCGAAAAUCCCAAGCCCUAACCCCUUAUUUCACUUCAAAAAUCCUACUAAUUAACACCUUAUUUCACUUCAAAAAUCCUACUAAUUAGCUGGGAAAACAACGGAAAAAUACCAUAGCUAGUGAUAAUAAAGCUCAAGCAACUUACCUCAGUGAAUAUCCUUGAAACCCCUUCAAAAAUCUCCCCAAAAGCUCCAAAGUCCGAAUUGAAAAUGGUGGAAAUGAGCAAAAAUCACGAAGUCCUCAAUUUAUACAUCUGCCCAGUGAAACCGCACCUGCGGCCCCUUUUUCCGCUUCUGCGACGCCAUACCUGCGGAAUUUCCAUCGCAGGUGCGGAACUCACUUAAGAUCCCAGGUUCCGCAUCUGCGGCCAAAUCUCGCACCUGCGAAAGCGCACCUGCGCAUCUCCCUCUGCUUCUGCGACGCCAACCAAAUUCCUCCUCUCCGCAUCUGAGCCCCAGGUCUUGCACCUGCGGGAUCGCAGAUGUGACAGACUUCUCGCACCUGCGACUUCUGCCCAGCUCCUCCAAUCUCGCAUCUGCGAUCACCUGCUCGCUUCUGCGGGCUCGCACCUGCGAUGAGACAUCCGCAGGUGCGAUUAUGACAGCUUAGUUCAACUUGUUCCGUUAAUCACCCUGAAUCACCCCGAGGCCCUCGGGACCUCAACCAAACAUACCAACAUAACCCACAAUAUCAUACGAACUUAGACAAAUCAUCAAAUCACUCAAAACAACAGCCAAACACCCAAUUACACUCGGAUUCAAGCCUAAGGACUUCUAAACUUUCGAAUUCCACCAACGAUGCCGAAACCCGCUAAACCAUGUUUGCAUGACCUCAAAUUUUACACACAACUCAUAAAUAACACAACGAACCUAUUCCAACUUCCGAAAUUCUAUUCCGACCCCGAUAUCAAAAUUUUCACUAACCGACCAAAAUCGCCAAAAUUCGAACUUCCGCCAAUUCAAGCCUAAUAGUACCACAGGCCUCAAAAUCUCAUUCCGAACGCGCUCCCAAGUCCAAAAUCGCCUAACGAAGCUAACGGAAUCAUCAAAAUUCAAAUCCGACGUCGUUUACACAUAAGUCAAUGUCCGGUUGACUUUUCCAACUUAAGCUUCUACUUUAGAGUCUAAGUGUCUUGAUUCACUCCGAAACCACUCCGGACCCGAACCAACUAACCCAGUAUAACACAAUAUAGCUGAAGGACUCAAAAAGAAACAGAAAUGGGGAAAACGGGGCUAAACUCCGAAAACGACCGGCCGGGUCGUUACAAUGAACAACCAAGUUAAAAAGCUAUGUUCUUCACUAACAAAGAAUAAAACUUUUAAUUUCAUUUAAAAGAACCAAGUAGUCUUCUGCAGAGGAAAUCAUUGAAAUGAACAAAAUCAUAGUUCUUUCAGUUGUUGCUCCUUAGAGUUCUUAGUUGAGUACUUUUGCUACAAACAUCACAAGUUCUCCAUCAAAUAGUGCAUCUAAACCGUUAACAUUAAUAAUUAUUGAAACAGAAAGUGCGAAAAUAAGUACAAAUGACUUUAGAAUUACCAUGUUAAAUUAUUUGGCUAAGUUUCUGUAAUUCUGCAAGUUCUUCAAAGAAAAGAUGUAUUUUAUUAGUGCACUUGCUGAACUACAAGUAAAUUAUUUAAAACAUUCUGGCGAACCCUUUUUAUUCUAAAACUUCAUUGACAAAAACAAAAAUCUUUUCAAAAGUAGAAUUAUCAUUAUCAUUAUGCUGUGAGGUUUCAAAGUGUAAAACUUCAGUGUUACAUAUAUCAAACACAGUAGAAAACCAAAAGGAAAAUAUGGAAUUGAAUUAGUAUAAGUCGAAAAAAUAGACAUAACCUUUUUGCAAUACUAGUAGAAAUAUUUCUAAAUAAGCACUACACAGGAAGUAAAAGGAGAAAACGCCGUUGGUAGCUUUGAGUAAUUCCAAACAUUGAAUGUUUGGCAUGUUUCCCAGAAAACAAAUUAAAUUAUAUUAUGAAAAAUUACAGUAAGCAGAUAUGAUCAUUGCAAAAGGCCAUCGAGAGAGGCAGAACACACAGAUCAAAUCUCAAAAGUAGAACCAGAAGAUAGAUUAAGAAAGAGGAUGAAAGCGGGAAUGAACUGGGAGAGAGUUUCUUGCGUUGUAACACAAAUAGCAAUACUUUCAACACCUGUUUGAGUUACUCUCUAAUAUCGUAGUAGUAAAACUGAUCAAAUCAAUAAAAUAUACUGGGAUAUUCAAUAGAAAAUUAAGAAAUGCAAUAGAGACAGAAAAAGAAGUUACCAUAUAGGAACUCGGUUAGUUUCACGGUACUUCUAGUAUGAUGUCAACCAAAAACUUUUUUAUAUCAAUGAUCCCAAUCCCAAAAAAAGGCUUUUAACAAUAGGCAGGAAAACCUUCUUUUAUCCUUGAAGUUGAUAUUGAUAUAAUUCUGAGUUUACAUAGUGUCCUCUAUUUUUCUAUUUGUUUUUACUGGGAAGAAGAUUACCUUUGAGUUCACUUCUUUUUAGUACACAAAGAGAUUAAGGCAUGCUUUUAUUUUAGUAAAAGCACAACAUAAAAGCGGAAAAUUUUUUAAACCCAUGUAAUUACCUUGACAGAGUACAAGCCCAACUGGCAGAAGACGACGUUACCAAUGUUGCAAAAAGAUGACCAAAUAAGUCCACCUAAACCUUGGCCCUCAUUUGAAUAGGAUAAAAAUUCAACACAUAUUUAGAUCAAACCAAUAAAUAAGAUUAUAAUCACAACUAACAAACCUUGAUUGUAAGAGAAUUUAAGAAAAUAAUUUAGUUUCUCAGCAAACCUGAGAUAAACGCAAUCCACUGGACAUAACCUCUACCCCAUCGUAAGUUAUCAUCAGAUGCGUUGAAAUUCUUUGGCCUUUAGCUCGUCUCUGAAAAUUUAGCUUCGACAAACACGCAAAUAUUAUAUAAAUUACAAAAUAAGGUAGCUAAACCCAAAGGAAAAGUGACCAAAAAAUGCAAAGCAAAAGGAUAAACAUAAAGCUGAAGCGGUGAUUAUUAGUAGAGGUAGCUGCCAAUUAUCGUGAAAUUCUUUUUGAAACACCAAUGUCUUUGGCAAGCAGAGAUGUCAAGAAAUAGCCGCCUGUCUAACCUGUUAACUUGCACUUCUAAUAUAGUUUAGUGGGUAAUUUCCCGUGUAUAGCCCUGUUAACUUGCACUUCUAAUAUAGUUUAGUGGGUAAUUUCCCGUGUAUAGCCCGGGCACAAUGAUGUAGUUAGUACAACAUAAUUUUUAGGGUAUUUAUUGAUGCUCAAUAAUAAAACUUCAGCCAAGCAAAAUCUCUUAUAUUGCCAAUAUUUUAGCAGUAAUGAAUUGUGUUUAAAAUCUAUUGUAAACAGCUACACUUCAACAUUCGACAGGUUUAGGUAAAACAAAAAUCAACAUGAACCCAGCCCUACUACUCAUAAUAUCCAUUAAAAAAUCAAAUAUUGAUUAACAGACCAAAAUCAACAGACGCUAAAACAAUUUUCAACCAAAAUAAUCAUAAGGACUGCAAAUGAAACGCCGAAGAAGGUCUUACAGUGAAAAUGAGUUAACUUUGGGCCCUUAGCUACAGGAAUGACGAUCCUCUUUCUAGACUAUUGAGGACGAAGAAGAUAAAACUCCAAAUUUUAUCAAUUUCUGAAAUUCACAAACCCUAGCACGAUCUACCAAUUUUUCCCAAAAAGAAUCCUAAUUUUACAAUAUCCCUUCCCAUGAAUUCUUCAUUACUGUUAGAUAUUGAGUUAAAAUUUGGGAUUUACUCUGUUGUCAGUAAAAUUCUUAACUUUCUAUCUACAAAUUUAAGAAUUAGUCCGAAAUCGUGUUACACUUAUCAAUUGACCUGAAAUUCCUUGCUUUCGGCGUUCAGUGCUCUGCUGGGUUCUUUGAUUUCACUACUUUCUACGAGGAAAAUCCAUUGCUACACAAAACUAUGAGAAGGAAGAAUAUUUCUUACCAGAGGGUGUAUAAUUUUUGACGUAGAUUAUCAUUUAUCACCAAAGUUAACUCCCAGCUGUCAAAAGUUAAGUCCAGGUGUUGUGUUGUUAAUACAGUGAGUCACACUGAUAGGAUGCAAAACAUGUAAAUUUUAGAGCUGUAAAGUGGGCUUUGAACAUGCCUCAAAAGGUUGAUUUAUUUACUAAAUUCUUCGAUGGUAACAAAUGUAAUAAUACUGAAAACUAAGGGUAAAAAUAUAAAAGUUAACGCUGGCAUGUCGGCGGAGUCCUGUCA
RNAcentral lists this long non-coding RNA (13148 nucleotides) under Nicotiana tabacum (common tobacco). Its description in RNAcentral is "long non-coding RNA (NTAB_LNC002208)". The record is from RNAcentral. Lineage: Eukaryota; Viridiplantae; Streptophyta; Magnoliopsida; Solanales; Solanaceae.